This is a long non-coding RNA of Siniperca chuatsi (mandarin fish), 4114 nucleotides long. RefSeq lists it as uncharacterized. The record is from RefSeq and is a predicted model, not a curated record. The transcript has 4 exons. NCBI's taxonomy places the organism in Eukaryota, Metazoa, Chordata, Actinopteri, Centrarchiformes, Sinipercidae.
GAUUCACCGUUAACAUGUACAAACUGAGACACACUCCUUCUCAUACUGUACAUACUGUAAACAUACUGAGCCAAAGUGUGUAUCACAUACAGUACACAUAAGGUGCACUCAAGUCUGUCUAAUGAGCAGUCACUUUUAUUUUCCAGCAAACUGAGACGCUGAUAGGAGGUUAGUAGUAGUAGACUCCUCUAUUGAUGCCUCAAGGCUUUGGCAGAAGGGAUUGGUAUGCAUGUAUGUGUUGAGUCGGUAAUCACUGAUCUCCUGUUGAAAAAAUUCAACAUCCAGUUUACCAUGCAGGAUUUGAGUGAAAAGUUUCUGUUAGUGUUGCUUGAUGUCCAUGUUUAUGAAAGCGUGAGCAUGUGUCUGCAUAUGUGUAUGAGGUUUCACACAUUCAGGGAUGUGGGUUCAUUUUCUAGACAUAAAUAAUAGAAAUGUACAUUGUGCUUCAAAUUUCAAAAUAACUAACACUUUUUAACUAGACCAACUCUCCUGUGGCUGAUACAACGCCACAGGAAGUAAAGAGGGCUUUUCAUAUGACACACACUCCCAUAAUGCUUUGAGCUGUUGGAACACAGUUGUUUGAAAAUUUCCUCAGUCCAACUCCUUUACUCUAAAUUGGAACAAAGAGCCAAUUGAAAAGAUGGUAAUAAUGUCUGGCUAAAAAUAUCACUAUAACUGAGCUCAGAGGGGCAAUUUUUAUUCUGUCUUCAGUCUCUGUAUCCAUUUCUCUCCAUGCUUGGACUGUAAUUGUUUUUUAUUUUCAAGUUUACACCCAUCUACACAAGCAUCCCUGCCAAAUGAAUCUCACACAAUGUGAGAAAUGGAAGCCUCCCAAAACCAUCAACACCCCUACUAAGCAGAUGGAUGUUGCAUGCUGCCUGACUGCCUUCAGCUGCCAUUAACUUCACACCAUGUCAUUUUUUUUGUCCGCUCCCCUCUGAGACCCGCAAAGUUUUCAACAUGGAGGGUGUCAAUUUUGAUAAAAGCCACAGUGUAACUACAGAGAGCUGAAGGUGUUGUUGGGUCGUCUAGACAUUUUCUAAAUUCUGUCUGGUACCUUUUUUGAUCAGACACAUCUGACUUGCAACAAUUAGUAGUGUUAUACUGUAGUUACAAGUUGCCUGUAAAAUUUCUGGAUGUCCAUCAACUGUGAUGAUGUACAUUAUCUCUGCUUUUUGGCACAUUUCACAAAGUGACACCUCUACUUUUGUUGCAAAUUCUCUCUCAAGAAAUAAGAAACAGUUUCAUAAUAAAAUAAUAAUAAAUAAAUAAUAAAAAAUAAGAUACAGUAAGUGCGUUGUUCAGGUGCACUUUUUCUUUCCAGCUUCACUUAGCUUUUGAUUUUGCAAUUUUGUGUUCUAAACUUUCUGUGUAUACCUCUGGAGUUGUGUGUGCCUGUGUCUCAGUCUUCUUCACAAAGAGAAGAUUUGAUUGAAGAUUAAUGAUGGAAGUGGCUUUGGCUAUGGCUUGCCCUUCAUAGGACUGCAGCUGUACUGAACACCUCCCGUGUGUGUGUGAGUGUGUGUGUGUGUGUGUGUGGAUGUGUGGUAUUUAAACUUUGUUGCCUGUAAAAAGGUGAGUCAUCACCUUCAGAGUCUUCAACUUCAGACUCAAUACCAUGACCUUGUCCUUCUUUGUGCUGCUUUGUAAUUGUGACACUUAUUCCCUUAGACAAAUUCUUUAAUUUAUCUUCUUAUCAGCUCUACUGAGAAAAGUUUUUUAGGAAGAAAUCUCGUCAGAUGAUGUGUAAGAUGCAAAACACUUGACCAUCUAUGGUUGUCAUUUCCUUUUUAAUCUCUAUAUAUUGUGUAUCUUUUUAUCUCUCCAUCUUUCUUUAAAUCUUCAAUCCAAACUUUUAUCUUUGGUGCCCACAGUGUUGUCUAAUAUUAAGGAUUUCUGUGUUUGGAAACAAAUGUACCCUCUUGUCUUGACAUUUUGGGUUUAAAUUUGAUUUAUAUCUUGUAGCAAGUCAUCUCCUCUUGCCCUCUUAUCUGCUAAAGCAUACAGUGUCAUAUAAAGUAGAACUGACACUACAGAAGUAGUAGUAGUACAGAAGUUUUGUCUGCAUGUAGCCUGUACUGCAUCAGCCAACUUUGGUGGCCACUUCAAAUGGCCACUAAAAUACAUGUUUUCAAUAGUUUUAAGCCAAGCAGUGAAACGAGAAAAUUCAACACACUCAAACUGAGCUAAACCCAGUGUGUUAAAUGCAGUCCAGGUGAAUCCCUUCAGUUUCAGGGAUAAAUGUCAAACUCCAGCAAAGAUGAUGUGCAGAAUUCUCUGAUGACGCUGAUUUCUGAUGGACCGGGGAUUCCAUUCUGACAUCAGGAAGAAACAGCUUGUUGUGGGUGAAGUGAGAAAAACAUAUCGUCUUCAUAACACAGGCGGUCAGCUCUGUAAACUGCCCCCCCAGUUGCACCAAGUUUUCUCCCUCCAGUGCUGUCCUCAAAUACAACUCUACCCUAUCUGCACUUAAAUGUGUCUUGACAUCUGCACUUUUAACAGUCCUUGUGGCAGUGUUUUUUAGUUUCACACAGAUGGGUAAAAAUAACCCGCAAGAUACUCCAGAAGGGGACACACAGCUGAGAGGGGUACUUGACUGAACUGUAGGGGUGUGUGGGUGUGUUUGCACGUGUGUGUUUGCAAGUAGUGUUUGUGUCUGCUCACACUUGUAAACAUGUGUUAAUGUAUGCAUGUCUGGAUACAGAUUUGUUAGUGAUACUUGAGAUAAAGCUAGAUAUUUGUGGGAUAUCUUGCCCUUAAUAAAGUAAACGAUAACCCUUUUCUGUAUUUAAUCUAUCCACUUUUUAAACUUGAUAUUUAUGUGUAAAUGUAGCAACUGUCCACAGUGGGCUAUUGUAGGUGAUCCUUUGAUCAGAAAUCAGCAAAGCACAGGGCCUGAAGCAAUAGAAGGUUUUGGCAACACAAAGUCAGAAACCCAAGUUGACACUUGAACAAAACUAAACCAUAAAAACCAUGCAACUACUCAAUGAUCAAAGACAGGCGGGGACAGAAAUAAAAAUGGUCACGGUUUCUAGCAGUGUGAAAUAAAAUGUUUUAGUUGAUGCAUACAGUAUAAAACUUAUUUCGCUUUGUUCCAGUCACAUUUUUCAUCUUGAUAACUGUGAUAAACACAAUGUAUGUUGUAUGUCCUUUCUAACCUCCUCAGUCUUUUGCAUGUAUUAUAGUUAAGACUGUAUCUGUUCAACUAAAAAUAUGCAACAAUGUUCCUCAUACAAUGGUUCGUAUGAUAUGUUACCAAAAGUAAUGCACUAAAAUUCGUGCAUAAUGCUACAUACCCAGCAACACAAGUGACCAGUGCACUUGCGCAAGAUCCUGCAGUGCAAAACCGAGUAUGGCCGUCAGCUGGUGGUAUUUAAAGCUCCAAUUCCCAGUUGUGUCCCUGUCAGUUCCAGGGCUGUGGGUCUGCAAGAUCUGAGAUGGACUCAAGGCAAUUUGUACUGUGUCUGCCGCAUCCAUUUUGAUGACAAGAAGAAGAACUCUACAAAGAAGUGGCUUUCAUGAUGCCAAUCAUGAUCACUGCAUGUGGUUUAAAAGCAACAUGUGCCUUCACUGCCAGUGUCACAACACCCUGAAACAUGCCUCAAUGUUAGGAAACAUGUAGCAUUUACUGCAUUGCAGGAUUUAUAUUUUGUGGUGAUUUUACUGUCAACAUUAAGAAGAAAACGUUCAGUUCACCCUAAUUAAGAAGUCUGUCUGAUUUACCAUGAAUUGGGAGUUAUUCAAGUUUAUGUAACCAUGGAGCAGUGUUAAAUUUCUUUUUCAGAAAUAAGACAGGCCACUUGAUUAAGAUAGACUGAGAUAUCACCACAUGGGGCAUCUGUUUUUGCCUACAGAGAGAUUAAGCGUUGUCACAACUACAAUCUUUUGCAAAGGUUUGACUGAGUUUGCUAAGCAAUGACUGAGACAUAAUUGGCAUGUUAAAUUUUGAUUUGCUUGAAGAUAAGGAGUUAAGUUAUCACAAUUUCCUAUUCAGUAGGAAAGGCACGCUCUGCUUAUCUUACGAUAUGAUCUAUGAUAUAACAUAGGCAGUAUGAGGCUCAUGAUUCCAAAACAAACAUGAUGCAAUGUAAUAAAUAAAACUUCAAUGAAAACA